Molecule: non-coding RNA, 300 nt
Organism: Vicia faba (fava bean)
Lineage: Eukaryota; Viridiplantae; Streptophyta; Magnoliopsida; Fabales; Fabaceae
Source: the annotation of a GenBank genome assembly
AUGUGUCCUCUCAGACUCAUUCUCGUAUUCUUGUCUGCUACUCUUGCUGCUUUUUUCGUCCUCGGAAACCUUAGAUCUCAACCUCAACCUCAACCUCAACCUCAACUCACUGAGCUGGACAAAGAAAAAGACAAUGAAGAUGUCUCAGAAACAGAAACCUCGAAUUCUGCUAAACCAAUCUUAAUUGCACCUUCUAAAUCUAAGGUUAAGGUUGCUUUGGAAUCUGGGUUUUGGAUGUUUGUUGACAUGGCUUCUGGUCGUUAUCUUUGGAGGCAGCUGGUUCAGUCCUCUUCAAAGUAA